GUUUGUGGUACAGGAAAAGGGUUACGAUCUCAGUGGUUGAUUCAGUGAAAUAACAUCUCUUUUAUACACAUCUGCCUAGCAAGUAGGGCGGUAGUUGGAAAUACCCAAUCUAAAGCAUUAAAGAUUUGCUGGCAAAUAGCAAGGCAUUUUCUGCAAAGGAAAAGUUGUUAUACUGAGUAGUCACUUUGAAUGCUUAGGAGUUACAGUCAAAUAUCCAAACACGGUGGAGUUACACUGCAUUUAUUAUUUUGUCAAGUAUUUAACACACUGGGAAUUGACUCCGCUGCACAUUUCAUAACCAAGAAGGCAUGGUAACAGUGGACUUUUAAGAAGAGACUUGGCAAUGGGCCCCUUAUGUCAGCCUACAGUUCAAGGAAUCAUAAAUCAAAAGGAAUGCAAAGUCAGAUGAAAAAGGAACAGCAUGUGACUGGAAACGUGGAGAGAAGAGGCCUAUGAAGAGGAACAGCCUUCUGCAGGAGUCAGGUUUGUCUGCCUUGCUGUUGUAAGUUCCUCCUUUUGAAUUUUUAUUUUAGGAUUA
Long non-coding RNA from Neopsephotus bourkii (Bourke's parrot), 538 nucleotides. RefSeq lists it as uncharacterized. NCBI's taxonomy places the organism in Eukaryota, Metazoa, Chordata, Aves, Psittaciformes, Psittacidae. The transcript has 3 exons. The record is from RefSeq and is a predicted model, not a curated record.